UCAACCCGCACCCCGCCAAAAUGAACUGGUGCGGGUAGUUUACUGAAACCCUCGAAUUCGGAAUAUGGGAAAGUCGCCCCGGGUUGGGGGACUACUCCUUUUAUGGGGGUUGCAAUGGCUUUAUUCUAG
Molecule: ribosomal RNA, 129 nt
Filed under: Triticum aestivum (bread wheat)
Lineage: Eukaryota; Viridiplantae; Streptophyta; Magnoliopsida; Poales; Poaceae
Description: partial small subunit ribosomal RNA
Source: RNAcentral